RNAcentral lists this small nuclear RNA (107 nucleotides) under Theobroma cacao (cacao). Lineage: Eukaryota; Viridiplantae; Streptophyta; Magnoliopsida; Malvales; Malvaceae. The record is from RNAcentral.
AUUCCAACCUUCGGGGACAUCCGAAAAAAUUGAAAUGAUAUAAAAAAGAUUAGCAUGGCCCCUGUGCAAGGAUGACAUGCACAAAUCGAGAAAUGGUAUCAAAACCU